This 257-nucleotide unclassified non-coding RNA is filed under the name Hevea brasiliensis (rubber tree). The record is from RNAcentral. Lineage: Eukaryota; Viridiplantae; Streptophyta; Magnoliopsida; Malpighiales; Euphorbiaceae.
UUGUAUACCAUGGAUGGCUAUGAAGCUACAAAGAUAGUUUUAUCAAGAAUUCAAAGUUUGGAUCCAGAAAAUGCUUCAAAAAUUAUGGGGUAUAUACUGAUACAAGAUCAAGGGGAGAAGGAGAUGAUAAGAUUAGCUUUUGGUCCAGAAACCCUUUUGGUUUCUUUGAUAAAUCAAGCUAAAACUUGUUUAGGAAUUUCAUCAAACAAUUCAUCUGCAAUGUCAAAAUUGAAUCUUUUUCAUCAAUCUUCACCAAG